This 115-nucleotide ribosomal RNA is filed under the name Pteropus alecto (black flying fox). Lineage: Eukaryota; Metazoa; Chordata; Mammalia; Chiroptera; Pteropodidae. The record is from RNAcentral.
UACUGCCAUGCCACCCUGAACGUGCCGAUCUUGUCUGAUCUUGGAAGCUAAGCAGGGUCAGGCCUGGUUAGUACUUGGAUGGGAGACCACCUAUGAAUACCAGCUGCUAAGGUGU